RNAcentral lists this ribosomal RNA (1536 nucleotides) under Trichinella pseudospiralis. RNAcentral's name for it is "bacterial LSU rRNA". It matches the Rfam family "Bacterial large subunit ribosomal RNA", at positions 897 to 2470 of the family's 2925-position model. Lineage: Eukaryota; Metazoa; Nematoda; Enoplea; Trichinellida; Trichinellidae. The record is from RNAcentral.
CGGAGGUAGAGCACUGAAUUUCCUAGGGGGCGUCAAAGCUUACCGAAGAAUAUCAAACUCCGAAUGCCGUAAAGAUGAUUCUUGGGAGUCAGACUGCACGAGAUAAGUUGGGUAGUCAAAAGGGAAAGAGCCCAGACCAUCAGCUAAGGUCCCAAAGUGCGUGUUAAGUGGAAAAGGAUGUGGGAUUUCGAAGACAGCUAGGAUGUUGGCUCAGAAGCAGCCAUACAUUCAAAGAGUGCGUAAUAGCUCACUAGUCGAGAGGUCCUGCGCCGAAAAUGUAACGGGGCUGAAACACUGCACCGAAGCUGAGGAAUCGAAAGAUUGGUAGAGGAGCAUUCUAAACGGGACGAAGCAGUACCGGAAGGAGCUGUGGACUGAUGAGGAGAGAGAAUGCCGGAAUGAGUAGCGAGAUGAAGGUGAGAAUCCUUCAGGCCGAAUAUCCAAGGAUUCCAGGGUAAAGCUGAUCUGCCCUGGGUAAGUCGGGGCCUAAGGCGAGGUGGAGACACGUAGCCGAUGGAGAGCAGGUGGAGAUUCCUGCACUGCCGUAUGACAGAACUGUGGGGACGCAUGGGGAGAGCAUGAGCCGGGAGAGGGAAACCCGGUGGAAACAGCGGAGAUGAGGGGCAGGCAAAACCGUCCGUCAAGUCAAGGCUGCGAAGGAGCGAAAAGAAGUAGCGAAGCAUGCAAGACCGGUGCCGAGAAAAGCCGCUAUCGUUCAUACGGUACCCGUACCGCAAACCGACACAGGUGGAUGAGGAGAGAAUCCUAAGGCCAACGGGAGAAGGGUUGUCAAGGAACUCGGCAAAAUGACCCCGUAACUUCGGGAGAAGGGGUGCCACGGUAAAACGUGGCCGCAGAGAAUAGGCUCAGGCAACUGUUUAGCAAAAACACAGGUCUAUGCGAAACCGAAAGGUGAGGUAUAUGGGCUGACGCCUGCCCGGUGCUGGAAGGUUAAGAGGAGGGCUUAGCGCAAGCGAAGGUCUGAAUUGAAGCCCCAGUAAACGGCGGCCGUAACUAUAACGGUCCUAAGGUAGCGAAAUUCCUUGUCGGGUAAGUUCCGACCUGCACGAAUGGUGUAAUGAUCCGGACACUGUCUCAACCAUGAACUCGGUGAAAUUGUAGUAUCGGUGAAGAUGCCGAUUACCCGCAACGGGACGAAAAGACCCCGUGAACCUUUACUGCAGCUUAGCAUUGGGGCCGGGUGUGCGAUGUGUAGGAUAGUCAGGAGACUGCGAGACGGCCACGCCAGUGGUCGUGGAGUCGUUGUUGAAAUACUGGCCUUCGCACAUUUGGCUUCUAACCCGCUUGGAGCGGGGACAUUGCUUGGUGGGUAGUUUGACUGGGGUGGUCGCCUCCAAAAGCGUAACGGAGGCUCCUAAAGGUGCCCUCAGGCCGAUUGGCAACCGGCCGCAGAGUGCAAUGGCAUAAGGGCGCUUGACUGCGAGACAGACAGGUCGAACAGGAAGGAAACUUGAGCAUAGUGAUCCGGCGGUUCCGCAUGGAAGGGCCGUCGCUCAAAGGAUAAAAGGUACUCCG